UACGGGGGGAGCAAGCGUUGUUCGGAUUUACUGGGCGUAAAGCGCGCGCAGGCGGUCCCGUAAGUCGGACGUGAAAGCCCAGGGCUCAACCUUGGAAGUGCGUCUGAUACUGCGAGACUGGAGUACUGGAGAGGAGAGCGGAAUUCCCGGUGUAGAGGUGAAAUUCGUAGAUAUCGGGAGGAACACCAGUGGCGAAGGCGGCUCUCUGGACAGAUACUGACGCUGAGGCGCGAAAGCGUGGGAAGCAAACAGG
This 253-nucleotide ribosomal RNA is filed under the name uncultured bacterium. Its description in RNAcentral is "partial 16S ribosomal RNA". It matches the Rfam family "Bacterial small subunit ribosomal RNA", at positions 524 to 776 of the family's 1533-position model. The record is from RNAcentral.